UAAACGACUCUCGGCAACGGAUAUCUCGGCUCUUGCAUCGAUGAAGAACGUAGCGAAAUGCGAUACUUGGUGUGAAUUGCAGAAUCCCGUGAACCAUCGAGUUUUUGAACGCAAGUUGCGCCCGAAACCAUUAGGUCGAGGGCACGCCUGCCUGGGCGUCUCAC
Molecule: ribosomal RNA, 164 nt
Filed under: Styrax platanifolius subsp. mollis
Lineage: Eukaryota; Viridiplantae; Streptophyta; Magnoliopsida; Ericales; Styracaceae
Description: 5.8S ribosomal RNA
Rfam family: 5.8S ribosomal RNA
About the family: 5.8S ribosomal RNA (5.8S rRNA) is a component of the large subunit of the eukaryotic ribosome. It is transcribed by RNA polymerase I as part of the 45S precursor that also contains 18S and 28S rRNA. Functionally, it is thought that 5.8S rRNA may be involved in ribosome translocation.
Source: RNAcentral